RNAcentral lists this ribosomal RNA (286 nucleotides) under Candidatus Bathyarchaeota archaeon. RNAcentral describes it as "partial 16S ribosomal RNA". It matches the Rfam family "Archaeal small subunit ribosomal RNA", at positions 391 to 679 of the family's 1478-position model. The record is from RNAcentral. Lineage: Archaea; Thermoproteati; Candidatus Bathyarchaeota.
UCCGCUGAGGAUGGCUUUUCUUCAGUGUAAGGAGCUGAAGGAAUAAGGAGAGGGCAAGUCUGGUGUCAGCCGCCGCGGUAAUACCAGCUCUCCGAGUGGUAGGGACGAUUAUUGGGCUUAAAGCGUCCGUAGCCGGCUCAGCAAGUCUUCCGUUAAAUCCAGCGAUUCAAUCGUUGGACUGCGGAAGAUACUGUUGGGCUAGGGGACGGGAGAGGCCGACGGUAUUUCCAGAGUAGGGGUGAAAUCCUGUAAUUCUGGGAGGACCACCAGUGGCGAAGGCUGUCGG